Molecule: long non-coding RNA, 833 nt
Filed under: Homo sapiens (human)
Lineage: Eukaryota; Metazoa; Chordata; Mammalia; Primates; Hominidae
Description: non-protein coding lnc-KIF16B-8:1
Source: RNAcentral
UGUAUCAUAUAUAUGAUACAUACCCAUUGUAUUAGUCUGUUCUCAUGCUGCUGAUAAAGGACAUACCCAAGACUGGGUAAUUUAUAAAGAAAAAAAGGUUUAAUGGACUUACAGCUCUACAUGACUGGGGAGGCCUCACGAGCAUGGCAGAAGGUGAAAGCCAUGUCAAUCCCCACAUGCUGAAAAAUGUCAGCAUGCUGAGGACUGACUGCCACAGGCACUGGCAAACUCAGGUGGUGUUACAGAAUCGGCAGGCACGGAUGCUUGCUGUGCCAUAACAGCCCAAUACAGCAGGGAUGGCACCCUGGUCAUCUGCCACAUCAGCUGUGCCUCCAGUGCCCACGGGGUCUGCCCCAAGCUUGUCUCCCACAGUCCUGUCGCCUCCUGAUCACACACCAGUGGUGCUUCUUGCUCCACCCUGACUACAGCAAAUGCUCCUUCCAAGAUGGUCACUUGCAACUCAAACCACCAGAACAUCGGAAUGUCAGGCUCUGUGUGAGAGAGUUUGAAGGUUUAAAGGGAGUGGUUCUCAAAGAGGCAUCCCACACCAGUAACAUCAGCAUUACCGGAACGUGUCAGACAUGCAGAUUCUCAGGCUCCUGCUGCAUCAAAGCGCUGGGAGUGGAGAACUGUUAUCUGAAGUUUAACAAGCUCUGAAGGUGAUUCUGAUGCACACUUAAGUUUGAGAACUACUGAGAGCAGUCUCUGGUGUUUCCCAUAGAAAUUUGCACUUAAAGAUAGCAACUUAGAAACUUUUCUGAAAAUUUAAAUGGUUUUAAUAGAAAGAGGAAGGGAGGAAGGAAAGAAGGAAGGAAGGAAGGGAGGGAGGGAAC